This 468-nucleotide ribosomal RNA is filed under the name uncultured bacterium. RNAcentral describes it as "partial 16S ribosomal RNA". It matches the Rfam family "Bacterial small subunit ribosomal RNA", at positions 28 to 507 of the family's 1533-position model. The record is from RNAcentral.
GACGAACGCUGGCGGCGUGCUUAACACAUGCCAGUCGAACGGAAAGGCCCUGCUUUUGUGGGGUGCUCGAGUGGCGAAAGGGUGAGUAACACGUGAGUAACCUGCCCUUGACUUUGGGAUAACUUCAGGAAACUGGGGCUAAUACCGGAUAGGAGCUCCUGCUGCAUGGUGGGGGUUGGAAAGUUUCGGCGGUUGGGGAUGGACUCGCGGCUUAUCAGCUUGUUGGUGGGGUAGUGGCUUACCAAGGCUUUGACGGGUAGCCGGCCUGAGAGGGUGACCGGCCACAUUGGGACUGGGAUACGGCCCAGACUACUACGGGAGGCAGCAGUGGGGAAUAUUGCACAAUGGGCGGAGGCCUGAUGCAGCAACGCCGCGUGCGGGAUGACGGCCUUCGGGUUGUAAACCGCUGUCGCCUGUGACGAAGCGUGAGUGACGGUAAUGGGUAAAGAAGCACCGGCUAACUACGUG